UCAACGUAGCAAUACGUGGCAUACGGCUCAGUAACACGUAGUCAACAUAACCAAAGGACGUGGAUAAACUCGGGAAACUGAGGCUAAACCGCGAUAGAUCAAGAUACCUGGAAUGGUUUUUGAUCAAAAUCUAUAUGGCCUUUGGAUUGGACUGCGUCCGAUCAGGCUGUUGGUGAGGUAAUGGCCCACCAAACCUAUAACCGGUACGGGCUCUGAGAGGAGGAGCCCGGAGAUGGGUACUGAGAUAAGGACCCAGGCCCUAUGGGGCGCAGCAGGCGCGAAACCUCUGCAAUAGGCGAAAGCUUGACAGGGUUACUCUGAGUGACUUUCGUUAAGAAAGUCUUUUGACACCUCUAAAAAUGGUGUAGAAUAAGGGGUGGGCAAGUCUGGUGUCAGCCGCCGCGGUAAUACCAGCACCCCGAGUGGUCGGGACGAUUAUUGGGCCUAAAGCAUCCGUAGCCGGCCUUACAAGUCCUCCGUUAAAUCCAGCUGCUUAACAGAUGGGCUGCGGAGGAUACUAUAAGACUAGGAGGCAGGAGAGGCAAGCGGUACUCAGUGGGUAGGGGUAAAAUCCGUUGAUCCAUUGAAGACCACCAGUGGCGAAGGCGGCUUGCCAGAAUGCGCUCGACGGUGAGGGAUGAAAGCUGGGGGAGCAAACCGGAUUAGAUACCCGGGUAGUCCCAGCCGUAAACGAUGCAGACUCGGUGAUGGACUAGCUUUAUGCUGGUCCAGUGCCGCAGGGAAGCCGUUAAGUCUGCCGCCUGGGUAGUACGGUCGCAAGACUGAA
RNAcentral lists this ribosomal RNA (787 nucleotides) under uncultured archaeon. RNAcentral describes it as "bacterial SSU rRNA". It matches the Rfam family "Archaeal small subunit ribosomal RNA", at positions 58 to 853 of the family's 1478-position model. The record is from RNAcentral.